This is a transfer RNA of Puccinia graminis f. sp. tritici, 104 nucleotides long. It matches the Rfam family "tRNA". From Rfam's summary of the family: Transfer RNA (tRNA) molecules are approximately 80 nucleotides in length. Their secondary structure includes four short double-helical elements and three loops (D, anti-codon, and T loops). Lineage: Eukaryota; Fungi; Basidiomycota; Pucciniomycetes; Pucciniales; Pucciniaceae. The record is from Rfam.
GCCCGGCUAGCUCAGUUGGUAGAGCAUUCGACUCUUAUCAUCAUGAGUCUCAUCCAACCCUGGUUGGUAUCGAAUUGUCGUGGGUUCGAGCCCCACGUUGGGCG